This 516-nucleotide ribosomal RNA is filed under the name uncultured bacterium. RNAcentral describes it as "bacterial SSU rRNA". It matches the Rfam family "Bacterial small subunit ribosomal RNA", at positions 26 to 518 of the family's 1533-position model. The record is from RNAcentral.
CGAGGACGAACGCUGGCGGCGUGCCUAACACAUGCAAGUCGAACGGGGAUUUGUUUCGGCAGAAUCCUAGUGGCGAACGGGUGAGUAACGCGUAGGCAACCUGCCCUCCGGCCGGGGACAACACUCCGAAAGGGGUGCUAAUACCGGAUACGAAGUCUGUGCCGCAUGGUACGGAUUUGAAAGAUGGCCUCUAUUUAUAAGCUAUCGCCGGGGGAUGGGCCUGCGUCCGAUUAGCUGGUUGGUGGGGUAACGGCCUACCAAGGCGACGAUCGGUAGCCGGUCUGAGAGGAUGAACGGCCACAUUGGGACUGAGACACGGCCCAGACUCCUACGGGAGGCAGCAGUGGGGAAUCUUCCGCAAUGGGCGCAAGCCUGACGGAGCAACGCCGCGUGAGUGAGGAAGUUCUUCGGAACGUAAAGCUCUGUUGUUCCUGACGAACCUCCCUUCUAUCAACAACGGAAGGGACUGACGGUAGGGAACGAGGAAGCCACGGCUAACUACGUGCCAGCCGCUGC